GCUCAGGAUGAACGCUAGCUACAGGCUUAACACAUGCAAGUCGAGGGGUAGCAGGGUAGCAAUACCGCUGACGACCGGCGCACGGGUGAGUAACACGUAUCCAACCUUCCCAUUACUCGGGGAUAGCCUUUCGAAAGAAAGAUUAAUACCCGAUAGUACUUUUUCGAGGCAUCUCGUAAAAAGUUAAAGAUUUAUUGGUAAUGGAUGGGGAUGCGUUCCAUUAGAUUGUUGGUGAGGUAACGGCUCACCAAGUCUUCGAUGGAUAGGGGUUCUGAGAGGAAGGUCCCCCACAUUGGUACUGAGACACGGACCAAACUCCUACGGGAGGCAGCAGUGAGGAAUAUUGGUCAAUGGGCGAGAGCCUGAACCAGCCAAGUA
Molecule: ribosomal RNA, 378 nt
Filed under: uncultured Bacteroidales bacterium
Lineage: Bacteria; Pseudomonadati; Bacteroidota; Bacteroidia; Bacteroidales
Description: bacterial SSU rRNA
Rfam family: Bacterial small subunit ribosomal RNA
Source: RNAcentral